GGUUGCGAUCAUACCAGCACUAAUGCACCGGAUCCCAUCAGAACUCCGCAGUUAAGCGUGCUUGGGCGAGAGUAGUACUAGGAUGGGUGACCCCCUGGGAAGUCCUCGUGUUGCAACAC
RNAcentral lists this ribosomal RNA (119 nucleotides) under Helianthus annuus (common sunflower). RNAcentral also lists the same sequence under 1 other name. Lineage: Eukaryota; Viridiplantae; Streptophyta; Magnoliopsida; Asterales; Asteraceae. The record is from RNAcentral.